This 89-nucleotide transfer RNA is filed under the name Mustela putorius furo (domestic ferret). It matches the Rfam family "tRNA". Rfam says of the family: Transfer RNA (tRNA) molecules are approximately 80 nucleotides in length. Their secondary structure includes four short double-helical elements and three loops (D, anti-codon, and T loops). Further hydrogen bonds mediate the characteristic L-shaped molecular structure. tRNAs have two regions of fundamental functional importance: the anti-codon, which is responsible for specific mRNA codon recognition, and the 3' end, to which the tRNAs corresponding amino acid is attached (by aminoacyl-tRNA synthetases). tRNAs cope with the degeneracy of the genetic code in two manners: having more than one tRNA (with a specific anti-codon) for a particular amino acid; and 'wobble' base-pairing, i.e. permitting non-standard base-pairing at the 3rd anti-codon position. Lineage: Eukaryota; Metazoa; Chordata; Mammalia; Carnivora; Mustelidae. The record is from Rfam by way of RNAcentral.
GCCUGGUUGGCUCAGUUGGUUGAGCAUCUGACUCUUGAUCAGCUCAGGUCCUGGUUUCAGGGUCAUGGGAUCAAGCCCCAUCUCCAGCU